GAUGAAGAACGCAGCUAAAUGCGAUAAGUAAUGUGAAUUGCAGAAUUCAGUGAAUCAUCGAAUCUUUGAACGCACAUUGCGCCCGCCAGUAUUCUGGCGGGCAUGCCUGUCUGAGCGUCAUUUCAACCCUCAGCCCCCGCUCGCGGGGCGCUGGCGUUGGGGAUCGGCCGUCCUCGCGGCGGCCGGCCCCGAAACACAGUGGCGGUCUCUCGCGGACUCCCCUGCGUAGUAGCACUACCUCGCAGAAGGGACGAGCGGGCUGACCACGCCGUAAAACCCCCCACUUCUCCAGGUUGACCUCAGAUCAGGUAGGAAUACCCGCUGAACUUAAGCAUAUCAAUAAGCGGAGGA
Molecule: unclassified non-coding RNA, 351 nt
Filed under: soil metagenome
Description: partial contains 5.8S ribosomal RNA, internal transcribed spacer 2, and large subunit ribosomal RNA
Rfam family: 5.8S ribosomal RNA (bases 1-120)
Source: RNAcentral